Molecule: long non-coding RNA, 546 nt
Organism: Bombus terrestris (buff-tailed bumblebee)
Lineage: Eukaryota; Metazoa; Arthropoda; Insecta; Hymenoptera; Apidae
Exons: 2
Source: RefSeq, a predicted model, not a curated record
AACAAAUUGUUAUGAAACUUCUGUUAUCAAAAGUUGCAGCUUAAAAUAUAUCUGAACGGUGCUUAUUAUGAUAUUGAUUACAAAUUGACUAAAAUAUUAUCCACAAACAGCGAUACUUAUCAAAAUUAUUGUAUAUUCAAAUUUUUUGCCAAUGUUUCAGCACUUAGCGUACCAACUAAAUUGGUUUUGUCCGCGGGCAUAAAACAUGAUAUAUAUGCGAAUAUAACUUUCUCUCUCCAUCAUACCGACGAAAAAAACUUAUUACUGAAGUUUUAUUUAUCUUCAUUUUAAGAUACAAUAUGUCAGAGAUUAUAAGAUGUAACUUGUGAUAUUGAUGCAACAUAUGCUGGCCAUAUUCAGAGUGAGGUGACAGAAAAAGUAAUAGCCACAUCAAGUAUUAAUUAUAAUUAACAUUCCGUGCAGCAGAAUGUAUGAACAGAAUUAACGAUAAUAUAAAAUCGAUCAUAUUAUACAUGUAUGAAAAGACGAGUUGAUAUCUAUUUAGAAAAUGUGAAUAUAAUUAUAGACAAUAGGAAUACAUGAAAA